UCGAUCAUGGUCCUUAUGUCCAGGGGCCUUACACACGGUGCUACAAUGGUAGUUACAGAGGGCAGCGAGGCCGCAAGGCGGAGGCUAAUCUCCAGAAAAGCCUGCCACAGUUCGGAUUGAGGUCUGCAACUCGGCCUCAUGAAGCUGGAAUCGCUAGUAAUCGCGUAACAGCAUGACGCGGUGAAUACGUUCCCGGGGCUU
Molecule: ribosomal RNA, 201 nt
Filed under: uncultured Spirochaetota bacterium
Lineage: Bacteria; Pseudomonadati; Spirochaetota
Description: uncultured Spirochaetes bacterium partial 16S ribosomal RNA
Rfam family: Bacterial small subunit ribosomal RNA
Source: RNAcentral